RNAcentral lists this ribosomal RNA (174 nucleotides) under Mystus mysticetus. RNAcentral's name for it is "partial 12S rRNA". The record is from RNAcentral. Lineage: Eukaryota; Metazoa; Chordata; Actinopteri; Siluriformes; Bagridae.
CACCGCGGUUAUACGAAAGACCCUAGUUGAUAAAUAUGGCGUAAAGGGUGGUUAAGGUAAAAUAUUAAAUAAAGCUAAAGACCUCCUAAGCCGUCAUACGCAUUCCGGGGACACGAAGCCCAAACACGAAAGUAGCUUUAAACAAAUUCACCUGACCCCACGAAAGCUAAGAAA